Molecule: ribosomal RNA, 585 nt
Filed under: uncultured bacterium
Lineage: Bacteria
Description: bacterial SSU rRNA
Rfam family: Bacterial small subunit ribosomal RNA
Source: RNAcentral
ACGGGUGAGUAACGCGUAAGUAAUCUACCCCGGCAUCUGGAAUAACUCUCCGAAAGGAAGGCUAAUACCGGAUACGUUGGUAACAAGAAAGGUGGCCUCUGCAUAUGCUACCGUGCUGGGAUGAGCUUGCGUACCAUUAGCUAGUUGGUAGGGUAAUGGCCUACCAAGGCGACGAUGGUUAGCGGGUCUGAGAGGAUGAUCCGCCACACUGGAACUGGAACACGGACCAGACUCCUACGGGAGGCAGCAGUGAGGAAUAUUGCGCAAUGGGGGCAACCCUGACGCAGCGACGCCGCGUGGAUGAUGAAGGCCUUCGGGUCGUAAAAUCCUGUCAGGUGGAAAGAAGUGCAUGGUGGCUAAUAUCCACUAUGUUUGACGGUACCACCGAAGGAAGCACCGGCUAACUCCGUGCCAGCAGCCGCGGUAAUACGGAGGGUGCAAGCGUUGUUCGGAAUUACUGGGCGUAAAGCGCGCGUAGGCGGUUUGUUAAGUCAGAUGUGAAAGCCCUCGGCUCAACCGGGGACGUGCAUUUGAAACUGGCAGACUUGAGUACUGGAGGGGGUGGUGGAAUUCCCGGUGUAGAGG